CAAACGCAGAGAAUAAGUUGUCAGCAGUUUUAAACCAUUCUAAGUUUUUAAAAAAUACAAAUCCAAAAAAUAUUAAUGAAUUGAGAAAAAACAUGAAUAUUCACUUGAAAUCACCAACUUGAAGAGGUUGAUUUUGCUUCGCCAAUUGACUCGCUGUUGGUUUCAUAAUACUCUUCCUCGUUGCCGAAGUCUAUGUCAAAGUUGAUGAAAAUCGUCGCCUACAGUGCCAGCUUGUAGAUCGUAUUUUUUGUCUUUAGAGAUUUAGAUGGAUUGAAAAAGAUACAAAAGGUAUAUAAAGAAGAUAUUUAAUGAAAAGUACCAAACCUGUUAAUGAAUGACUAGAGACAUUUUAAAAACCAGAUAGGUGCGAUGGGCACCAUAAGAAUGUACAGUGAUAUCAAAUUCUCUCUUUUCUAUUAGAGCAAUGAUUAUGGUAUAAUCCUCUUAAGGGAUGCCAAAAAUUCACUCUUUUCCUUUUCUUUUUCAAAUGGCAGGACUUUGGGGUGCUCUUUGCUAACUAUGAGGGCUAUGGAAUUGGAUUUUUUCAACUUUACUAUAAUGUUUUCUUGGGCAUUUGCAAUCUGGGUAAGAUGAAAUGUUGUAUGCUCAAUAAGAUGUUGAAAUGUAGAUGAACUCAUCAAACCAAUGCCUAGAAAUUUAAUUAUAUCGAAUAGAAUAAGUACAUGAUUAUGGAACUUGUGAAACUAACAAAACUGUAAUAGAUGGAAGUUCAUCUCUACAUUGAAAACUGUUGAAUGUAUAUAAGGAAAAUCAAAGUAUUGACCAAAAGAAGAAGAAUUGAGAACUUACAGUAGUUAAGAAGCUCAUUGAGUACUCGGAUUCUCUGCUCAUGUUGUUCUGUCUCCCUGUCACAAUUUGAAGUAAACAAAAGCUAACACAUUUGCCUUUUAUGUUAAUUGGCCAAGGGUAAAAUACUCUAGAGUCAUAUAUCGUCUGCAUAUUUGAAAAUUGAAGAUAAUUUAUGAGAUGAAUAUGCCAAUGCGGUUUCUAUAUGAGCUUUUAUUUUAGAAAAACAUUAAUCAUAGACUUCAUAAUCUUUAAUUUUUGGUGAGUCGAGGAUGGAUGAUGGAGGAAAUGAGAAUAAUCAUAAUUCAUGCCAUGGCAGUGCAAAUAUGACUUUUAUCUUCUUGGAAACACCUAGCCAACCCGCUAUCAGCAAUUUUAGCAUGAAAGUUGAAAUUGAGGAGGAUAUUACUCGCUUUUAAAUCUCUGUGAAUGAGUGAGGUUGUCAAAGGAUAAUUCAGCUUUAGCCAAAAAAUUUAAAAAAAAAAAAAAAAAAAAAUUGCGUGCAAAAGCUUACUCUUUCUAUCUCAGUUGCAUGCCUAGAGUCAUAUAAAAUAUGCAGUUAGUUUGUGAGAUGCAUUUAUACAUAGUACACUGCGAUAUCCAACCAUAACCAACUAAGAAAAGUCUAGCUAACUUGUAUCAAACCCCACAGAGAUAAUAGUCAUGUCAGCAUUAAAUUCCUUAGCAACAGGAAUCAAAACAUAGUCCUAAACUGCAAGAUAGUCUGUACAAAAAGAGUGGUACAUGUAUAAGCUAAAUGAAUAGGAAUGUGCAAAAAGAGUGAGUUGCAUAUACUAAUGGAUGAAAAACUUGAAUAAAAUUAGUGCCCAAUAAUUCAAAUUAACUCUUAGUCUUUCAUUUUAGAGAAAACUUGUUGCAAUAGCAACACUAUUGUACACGCAAAACUCCACUGGUUCACUUUUUUCGGCAUGAUGUCCUGGAGGUUUGACAAUAGCAAAACCAGAAUCCAAUUUUCUUUUUGCAACUUGCUCAUCCACCUAUGUUACAAGGUUUCAACAGUCAAAUUCUUGAAAACUAAAGCAAUUGCACCACCUUGGCAUAUAGAAG
RNAcentral lists this long non-coding RNA (1875 nucleotides) under Olea europaea subsp. europaea. The record is from RNAcentral. Lineage: Eukaryota; Viridiplantae; Streptophyta; Magnoliopsida; Lamiales; Oleaceae.